RNAcentral lists this ribosomal RNA (417 nucleotides) under Sphingomonas sp. RNAcentral's name for it is "bacterial SSU rRNA". It matches the Rfam family "Bacterial small subunit ribosomal RNA", at positions 85 to 535 of the family's 1533-position model. Lineage: Bacteria; Pseudomonadati; Pseudomonadota; Alphaproteobacteria; Sphingomonadales; Sphingomonadaceae. The record is from RNAcentral.
UCGAGCCUUAGUGGCGCACGGGUGCGUAACGCGUGGGAAUCUGCCCUUGGGUUCGGAAUAACAGUGAGAAAUUACUGCUAAUACCGGAUGAUGUCGAAAGACCAAAGAUUUAUCGCCCGAGGAUGAGCCCGCGUAGGAUUAGCUAGUUGGUGAGGUAAGAGCUCACCAAGGCGACGAUCCUUAGCUGGUCUGAGAGGAUGAUCAGCCACACUGGGACUGAGACACGGCCCAGACUCCUACGGGAGGCAGCAGUGGGGAAUAUUGGACAAUGGGCGAAAGCCUGAUCCAGCAAUGCCGCGUGAGUGAUGAAGGCCUUAGGGUUGUAAAGCUCUUUUACCCGGGGAUGAUAAUGACAGUACCGGGAGAAUAAGCCCCGGCUAACUCCGUGCCAGCAGCCGCGGUUAUACGGAGGGGGCU